GGGGAGCUUACAUGGCAGUCGAGGGGCAUCGGGAGGGAAGCUUGCUUUCCUUGCCGGCGACCGGCGCACGGGUGAGCAACACGUAUGCAACCUGCCCUCUUCAGGGGGACAACCUUCCGAAAGGGAGGCUAAUCCCGCGUAUAUCGGUUUCGGGCAUCCGGGAUCGAGGAAAGAUUCAUCGGAAGAGGAUGGGCAUGCGGCGCAUUAGCUUGACGGCGGGGUAACGGCCCACCGUGGCGACGAUGCGUAGGGGUUCUGAGAGGAAGGUCCCCCACACUGGUACUGAGACACGGACCAGACUCCUACGGGAGGCAGCAGUGAGGAAUAUUGGUCAAUGGGAGAGAUCCUGAACCAGCCAAGCCGCGUGAGGGAAGACGGCCCUAUGGGUUGUAAACCUCUUUUGUCGGAGAACAAAACCCGGGACGUGUCCCGGACUGCGUGUAUCCGAAGAAAAAGCAUCGGCUAACUCCGUGCCAGCAGCCGCGGUAAUACGGAGGAUGCGAGCGUUAUCCGGAUUUAUUGGGUUUAAAGGGUGCGUAGGCGGUCCGUUAAGUCAGCGGUAAAAUUGCGGGGCUCAACCCCGUCGAGCCGUUGAAACUGGCAGACUUGAGUUGGCGAGAAGUACGCGGAAUGCGCGGUGUAGCGGUGAAAUGCAUAGAUAUCGCGCAGAACUCCGAUUGCGAAGGCAGCGUACCGGCGCCAGACUGACGCUGAGGCACGAAAGCGUGGGGAUCGAACAGGAUUAGAUAC
Molecule: ribosomal RNA, 750 nt
Filed under: uncultured bacterium
Lineage: Bacteria
Description: bacterial SSU rRNA
Rfam family: Bacterial small subunit ribosomal RNA
Source: RNAcentral